CAGUAGCCGCGGUAACACGUAGGGCGCGAGCGUUGUCCGGAAUCACUGGGCGUAAAGGGCGCGUAGGCGGCCUGUUAAGUCGGAUGUGAAAGCCCGGGGCUCAACCCCGGAACUGCAUCCGAGACUGGCAGGCUUGAGACCGGGAGAGGAGGGUGGAAUAUCCAGUGUAGAGGUGAAAUUCGUAGAUAUUGGAUGGAACACCGGUGGCGAAAGCGGCUCUCUGGCCCGGAUCUGACGCUGAGGCGCGAAAGCGUGGGGAGCAAACAGGAUUAGAUACCCCCGUAGUCCCUGUCUCUUAUAC
Molecule: ribosomal RNA, 301 nt
Filed under: uncultured bacterium
Lineage: Bacteria
Description: partial 16S ribosomal RNA
Rfam family: Bacterial small subunit ribosomal RNA
Source: RNAcentral